UUUAACGGCCGCGGUAUCCUAACCGUGCAAAGGUAGCACAAUCACUUGUCCCCUAAAUAGGGACUAGAAUGAACGGUUAAAUGAGGACCAACCUGUCUCUUAAAGAAAAUCAGUAAAACUGAACUUCCAGUACAAAUGCUGGAAUAAACCUAUAAGACGAGAAGACCCUGUGGAGCUUUAAAACUACGACGAACCAUAUAAUCGUCCUAAGAUUUUUAGUUGGGGCAACUUUGGAAACAAAAAAAACUUCCAAGCACAGGGCCAAAAACCUAUAACAGGCCAACAAGCCUAAUUUAAACCACUGACCCGGUUAAUACAACCGAAAAACGAACCAAGUUACCCCAGGGAUAACAGCGCUAUCUUCUUUCAGAGUCCAUAUCAACAAGAAGGUUUACGACCUCGAUGUUGGAUCAGGACACCCAAAUGGUGCAGCCGCUAUUAAUGGUUCGUUUGUUCAACGAUUAAAGUCCUACGUGAUC
RNAcentral lists this ribosomal RNA (479 nucleotides) under Cordylosaurus subtessellatus (dwarf plated lizard). RNAcentral describes it as "partial 16S ribosomal RNA". It matches the Rfam family "Bacterial large subunit ribosomal RNA", at positions 1923 to 2605 of the family's 2925-position model. Lineage: Eukaryota; Metazoa; Chordata; Lepidosauria; Squamata; Gerrhosauridae. The record is from RNAcentral.